RNAcentral lists this ribosomal RNA (533 nucleotides) under Quasipaa boulengeri (spiny-bellied frog). RNAcentral describes it as "partial 16S ribosomal RNA". It matches the Rfam family "Bacterial large subunit ribosomal RNA", at positions 1852 to 2601 of the family's 2925-position model. The record is from RNAcentral. Lineage: Eukaryota; Metazoa; Chordata; Amphibia; Anura; Dicroglossidae.
GUCCAGCCUGCCCAGUGACUUAGUUAAACGGCCGCGGUACCCUGACCGUGCGAAGGUAGCAUAAUCACUUGUUCUUUAAAUAAGGACUAGUAUCAACGGCAUCACGAGGGUUACACUGUCUCCUCCCUCCAAUCAGUGAAACUGAUCUCCCCGUGAAGAAGCGGGGAUAAAAAUAUAAGACGAGAAGACCCCAUGGAGCUUUAAACCCAACAACAACCUCUAUGCACACCCCCUAAUAAAUGCAGAAGUACUGUCUGUUGGUUUUAGGUUGGGGUGACCGCGGAGUAAAACUUAACCUCCACGAUGAACGGGAUUAACCCCUAAUCCAAGAGCCACCGCUCUAAGAAUCAAUAAAUUGACAUGAAAUGAUCCGACAAUCGAUCAACGAACCAAGUUACCCUGGGGAUAACAGCGCAAUCCAUUUCAAGAGCUCCUAUCGACAAAUGGGUUUACGACCUCGAUGUUGGAUCAGGGUAUCCCAGUGGUGCAGCCGCUACUAAAGGUUUGUUUGUUCAACAAUUAAAACCCUACGU